Molecule: long non-coding RNA, 604 nt
Filed under: Hordeum vulgare
Lineage: Eukaryota; Viridiplantae; Streptophyta; Magnoliopsida; Poales; Poaceae
Description: long non-coding RNA (HVUL_LNC019448)
Source: RNAcentral
GAAUGUCCCCAUGUAAGUCGAGUGCCAACGGGCACACGAUUUAUACAUAACGGCAACAACAAUAUAUUACAUAUCCAAUAUAUCACGACAACAACAAUAUAGAUCACAACAAUAUAUUACAUAUCCAAUAGAUCAAAACAACAACAACAAUAUAUUACAUAUCCAAUAGAUCACAACAACAAUAUAGUUUCACAAAAGCAUGCGUACAUAUGCAACAAGAAUUCACAAAUGAAAUGGUCAUGCAUACAUAUCCAAUAUAUUACAAGUUCACAAAAAUAACAAACCGAUGAUGAGUUCAAAGUCCACACAUGCAUACAUAUCCAACAUAGUUUCACAAAAACACACAUACAUAUUCAAGGAGGGUUCACAACAUGUGUACAUAUGCAACAAGAGUUAACAAACAAAAGCAUGAGUUCAACCUACAAUAUGCAAUGAGCUUCCGCCACAGCAUGUAUGCCCACCGUCGACGGCAUCCGUGAUGCCAACCUAUAAGUUCAAUAGCACACGCAUGAGUAUCCAAAGUUAAAUUUUUGAAGAAUAGAAAUCAUAUCAAAUUAAAAGAGCACUGCAAAACUGCAACAAGAAGAUUUAGUUUUACUCUCAU